ACCGAGCUCCGCUGGGUAAACUCCAGCUGCAGGAACCUGGACUAGCGACUCGGCUUUUCCUUCCGACCCCGCGGACCACGAGCCCCAGAACGCUUUGCGCCUCGGCCUCUUUGCGGAAAGAACAACAUUUCCCACAGGGCCCCGAGACACGCCUCGACAUCGCGCCUGCGCUACAGGUGACCGCGGCCGCAGGAAUUCUUUGGAUGAUGGGACUUCCCUGGUGGUCCAGUGGUAAAGAAUCCGCCUUCCAAUUCAGGGGACGCAGGUUUGAUCCCUGGUCAGGGAACUAACACCCCACAUGCUGUGGGGCAACUAAGCCUGCCCGCCACAACUGCUGAGCUGGGGUGCCUCAACGAGAGAGCCCACGUGCCUCAAACUACAAAGUCCACAUGCUCUGGAGCCCGAGCACCACAACUACAGAGCCCAUGUGCCCUGGAACCCAUGUGCCACAACUAGAGAGAGAAAAUCUGCAUGCCACAACUAGAGAGAAGCCCUCAUGUCACAAGAGCCCACGCUGCAAUGAAAAAUCGCACAUGCCUCAACGAAGAUCCUACAUGCCACAACUAAGACCCGACACAGCCAAAAAAAAAAAAAAAAGAAUUCUUUGGAUGAUAAUUGUGGUUUGGUGCUUGACAAAUGCAUCACACAGCUCUUCCCUGGACUUAACUAUCACGCAGGUACACAAUGGAAUGAUUUGAUAUUUGUAAGUAUUGCAAAGUGAUCACUUCAGUAAGUCUAGUUAACAUCCAUCACCAUACAUAGUUACAAAAAAAUUUUUUUUCUUAUGGUAAGAACUUUUAAGAUCUACUCUCUUAGCAAUUUUCAAAUAUGCAAUACGGUAUUAUUAACUAUAGUUACCAUGCUGUACAUGUACAUCCCCAUGAUUUAUUUUAUAACGGAUCCCCUUCACCCAUUUUGCCCAACCCCCGCACCCUGCCCCUGGCAACCACCAAACUGUACUCUGUAUUUAUAAGCUCUGUUUUUUCAGUUGUUUCUUAUUUGAAGGCAGUAGUUCUUCUUUGUAUUGAGAAUGAAGUAAAAUUGAGAGUGAAGAAACCAAGAACAACUUCUUGUCUUAGUUAUUUUAAUUGACCAUCCGUAUUCUUUGCCCUAGAAUGUUUUUAUAUAACCCUGUGGACUGAAGAAUAAAGCACGAUUUUACCAGGGCUUACUAGACACGGCUUAUUGAGAUGUUUGGAAAGCAUUCAUAC
This is a long non-coding RNA of Lagenorhynchus albirostris (white-beaked dolphin), 1211 nucleotides long. RefSeq lists it as uncharacterized. NCBI's taxonomy places the organism in Eukaryota, Metazoa, Chordata, Mammalia, Artiodactyla, Delphinidae. The record is from RefSeq and is a predicted model, not a curated record. The transcript is spliced from 3 exons.